RNAcentral lists this non-coding RNA (126 nucleotides) under Prolemur simus (greater bamboo lemur). The record is from RNAcentral. Lineage: Eukaryota; Metazoa; Chordata; Mammalia; Primates; Lemuridae.
GUGUUGUAUGAAAGGAGAGAAGGUUAGCACUCCGCUUGCCUAGGAUGGAAGAGGCCCUUAGGCCGGACAACAUGCAUGCAGUUAAGGCACUGCCACCUACUUUGUGACAUCUAACCAUUGUUUUGU